RNAcentral lists this ribosomal RNA (497 nucleotides) under uncultured bacterium. RNAcentral's name for it is "partial 16S ribosomal RNA". It matches the Rfam family "Bacterial small subunit ribosomal RNA", at positions 28 to 507 of the family's 1533-position model. The record is from RNAcentral.
GAUGAACGCUGGCGGCGUGCCUAAUACAUGCAAGUCGAGCGAACAGACGAGGAUCUUGCUCCUCUGACGUUAGCGGCGGACGGGUGAGUCACACGUGGAUAACCUACCUAUAAGACUGGGAUAACUUCGGGAAACCGGAGCUAAUACCGGAUAAUAUAUUGAACCGCAUGGUUCAAUAGUGAAAGACGGUUUUGCUGUCACUUAUAGAUGGAUCCGCGCCGCAUUAGCUAGUUGGUAAGGUAACGGCUUACCAAGGCGACGAUGCGUAGCCGACCUGAGAGGGUGAUCGGCCACACUGGAACUGAGACACGGUCCAGACUCCUACGGGAGGCAGCAGUAGGGAAUCUUCCGCAAUGGGCGAAAGCCUGACGGAGCAACGCCGCGUGAGUGAUGAAGGUCUUCGGAUCGUAAAACUCUGUUAUUAGGGAAGAACAAAUGUGUAAGUAACUAUGCACGUCUUGACGGUACCUAAUCAGAAAGCCACGGCUAACUACGUG